AGUGAACGCUGGCGGUAGGCCUAACGCAUGCAAGUCGAACGGCAGCACAGUAAGAGCUUGCUCUUACGGGUGGCGAGUGGCGGACGGGUGAGGAAUACAUCGGAAUCUACUUUUUCGUGGGGGAUAACGUAGGGAAACUUACGCUAAUACCGCAUACGACCUACGGGUGAAAGCAGGGGAUCUUCGGACCUUGCGCGAUUGAAUGAGCCGAUGUCGGAUUAGCUAGUUGGCGGGGUAAAGGCCCACCAAGGCGACGAUCCGUAGCUGGUCUGAGAGGAUGAUCAGCCACACUGGAACUGAGACACGGUCCAGACUCCUACGGGAGGCAGCAGUGGGGAAUAUUGGACAAUGGGCGCAUGCCUGAUCCAGCCAUACCGCGUGGGUGAAGAAGGCCUUCGGGUUGUAAAGCCCUUUUGUUGGGAAAGAAAAGCAGCAGGUUAAUACCCCGCUGUUCUGACGGUACCCAAAGAAUAAGCACCGGCUAACUUCGUG
Molecule: ribosomal RNA, 492 nt
Filed under: uncultured bacterium
Lineage: Bacteria
Description: partial 16S ribosomal RNA
Rfam family: Bacterial small subunit ribosomal RNA
Source: RNAcentral